This 520-nucleotide ribosomal RNA is filed under the name Psychrobacter sp. RNAcentral describes it as "bacterial SSU rRNA". It matches the Rfam family "Bacterial small subunit ribosomal RNA", at positions 867 to 1387 of the family's 1533-position model. The record is from RNAcentral. Lineage: Bacteria; Pseudomonadati; Pseudomonadota; Gammaproteobacteria; Moraxellales; Moraxellaceae.
GACCGCCUGGGGAGUACGGCCGCAAGGUUAAAACUCAAAUGAAUUGACGGGGGCCCGCACAAGCGGUGGAGCAUGUGGUUUAAUUCGAUGCAACGCGAAGAACCUUACCUGGUCUUGACAUAUCUAGAAUCCUGCAGAGAUGCGGGAGUGCCUUCGGGAAUUAGAAUACAGGUGCUGCAUGGCUGUCGUCAGCUCGUGUCGUGAGAUGUUGGGUUAAGUCCCGCAACGAGCGCAACCCUUUUCCUUAGUUACCAGCGGUUUGGCCGGGAACUCUAAGGAUACUGCCAGUGACAAACUGGAGGAAGGCGGGGACGACGUCAAGUCAUCAUGGCCCUUACGACCAGGGCUACACACGUGCUACAAUGGUAGGUACAGAGGGCAGCUACACAGCGAUGUGAUGCGAAUCUCAAAAAGCCUAUCGUAGUCCAGAUUGGAGUCUGCAACUCGACUCCAUGAAGUAGGAAUCGCUAGUAAUCGCGGAUCAGAAUGCCGCGGUGAAUACGUUCCCGGGCCUUGNACA